This 448-nucleotide ribosomal RNA is filed under the name uncultured bacterium. RNAcentral describes it as "bacterial SSU rRNA". It matches the Rfam family "Bacterial small subunit ribosomal RNA", at positions 329 to 794 of the family's 1533-position model. The record is from RNAcentral.
GGCCAGACUCCUACGGGAGGCAGCAGUGGGGAAUAUUGCACAAUGGGGGAAACCCUGAUGCAGCGACGCCGCGUGAGUGAAGAAGUAUUUCGGUAUGUAAAGCUCUAUCAGCAGGGAAGAAAAUGACGGUACCUGACUAAGAGGCCCCGGCUAACUACGUGCCAGCAGCCGCGGUAAUACGUAGGGGGCAAGCGUUAUCCGGAUUUACUGGGUGUAAAGGGAGCGUAGACGGCAUGGCAAGUCAGAUGUGAAAGCCCGGGGCUCAACCCCGGGACUGCAUUUGAAACUGUCAGGCUGGAGUGCAGGAGAGGUAAGUGGAAUUCCUAGUGUAGCGGUGAAAUGCGUAGAUAUUAGGAGGAACACCAGUGGCGAAGGCGGCUUACUGGACUGUAACUGACGUUGAGGCUCGAAAGCGUGGGGAGCAAACAGGAUUAGAUACCCUCGUAGA